This 470-nucleotide unclassified non-coding RNA is filed under the name Chlorocardium venenosum. RNAcentral's name for it is "psbA-trnH intergenic spacer region". The record is from RNAcentral. Lineage: Eukaryota; Viridiplantae; Streptophyta; Magnoliopsida; Laurales; Lauraceae.
GCUGCUGUCGAAGUUCCAUCUACAAAUGGAUAAUACUUUGGUUUUAGUGUAUACGAGUCGUUGAAGGAUCAAUACCAAACUUCUUAAUAGAACAAGAAGUUUGGUAUUGAUCCAUUUGAUUCAGUAGUGUUUUAUUCACAUAAUCGUUUUUCAUUUUCAUUUCUUUUAUUCAACUUAUGGAAACCGCCGGUUAUUUCAUGAUCGAAUAUCGUAGUUUCUUUUGUACCGACCUGUAAUUUAUAUACGACAUUCUGAUUUUUCAAAAUCAUUUUUUUUUAGGAAAAAAUCAAAUGAUUUUUCUUAUUUUAUUUUAAAGGAUUGGCAUUUUCUGUACAAUAUCUGUAUUUCAGUAGGAAGGAGAGUGAAGUAAUAAAGACUAAAUAAAAAAAUAAUGAAUGGCGAAAAUGGAAUCCUUUUGAGAGAGGAGGGGCGGAUGUAGCCAAGUGGAUCAAGGCAGUGGAUUUGUGAAU